This 73-nucleotide transfer RNA is filed under the name Rivularia sp. (in: cyanobacteria). RNAcentral's name for it is "Rivularia sp. (in: Bacteria) tRNA-Ile". It matches the Rfam family "tRNA". Rfam says of the family: Transfer RNA (tRNA) molecules are approximately 80 nucleotides in length. Their secondary structure includes four short double-helical elements and three loops (D, anti-codon, and T loops). RNAcentral also lists the same sequence under 1 other name. Lineage: Bacteria; Bacillati; Cyanobacteriota; Cyanophyceae; Nostocales; Rivulariaceae. The record is from RNAcentral.
CGCAGUGUCACCUAAUGGUUAAGGUACUCGGCUCAUAACCGAGGAUAUGCGGGUUCAAAUCCCGCCACUGCCA